RNAcentral lists this long non-coding RNA (2510 nucleotides) under Sus scrofa (pig). Its description in RNAcentral is "lncRNA (ENSSSCG00060008988.1)". The record is from RNAcentral. Lineage: Eukaryota; Metazoa; Chordata; Mammalia; Artiodactyla; Suidae.
CAGUUUUCACCAGAUGGUUCUGUCUUUGUUAUUUCCCUAAAGCCAUAGUAUUUAUGUUUAACAACUAUUUUUGGAGGGAGAUUAUAACUUUGUUGGAAUUUUGACAUUUCACUAAUGCACAUUUUUACUCUUUUGGAAAAUUCUAGUAUUUUAUUUAUUUUGUUUUUUUAUUUAUUACUCAAUGAAUUUUAUUACAUUUAUAGUUGUACAAUGAUCAUCACAACCCGAUUUUAUAGAAGUUUCAUCCCAAACCCUUAGCCCAUCCCCUGCCCCCAACCUGUCUCAUUUGGAAACCAUAAGUUUUUCAAAGUCUAUGAUUCAGUAUCUGUUCAUCUCAUAUUUCAAAUAAUCUCUGUUUCUUAUGAAAUAUGUACUUGGCUUCCUCAGUCAAUUCUUUUGGACUAUGAAUUUUUUUGCAGUUAUUGGGAAAGCAAUUUCGUGACCAUUAUAACACAUUGGCUAUAGCAGCUGAUGAUUUUUAUAGGUUUUUUUUAAUGUGAGAGGAAUUUGACUUUGCAUAUUGAAAUAAGCUGCAGAUUAUAAAAAGUCUUUUUAUUCUUACAUAGGAAUGCUUUUUCUUUUGGUUUGUUUGUUUUAGGCUGCACCCACAGCAUUGGAAGUUCCCAGGCUAGGGGUCAACUGCCAGCCUAUAUCACAGCCACAGCAACGCCAGAUCUGAGCUGAAUCCUUAACCCACUGAGUGAAGCCAAGGAUAGAAUCCACGUCCUCAUGGAUCUUAGUCAGGUUCAUUAGUGCUCAGUCACAACAGGAACUCCAGGAAUGCUUUUCUUUUUUUUUUAUUAUUAUUAUUUUUUUUAUUUUCCCACUGUACAGCAAGGGGGUCAGGUUAUCCUUACAUGUAUACAUUGCAAUUACAGCUUUUCCCGCACUCUUUCUUCUGUUGCAACAUGAGUAUCUAGACAUAGUUCUCAAUGCUAUUCAGCAGGAUCUCCUUGUAAAUCUAUUCUAGGUUGUGUCUGAUAAGCCCAUGCUCCCGAUCCCUCCCCCUCCCUCCCCCUCCCAUCAGGCAGCUACAAGUCUCUUCUCCAAGUCCAUGAUUUUCUUUUCUGAGGAGAUGUUCAUUUGUGCUGGAUAUUAGAUUCCAGUUAUAAGUGAUAUCAUAUGGUAUUUGUCUUUGUCUUUCUGGCUCAUUUCACUCAGUAUGAGAUUCUCUAGUUCCAUCCAUGUUGCUGCAAAUGGCAUUAUGUCAUCCUUUUUUAUGGCUGAGUAGUAUUCCAUUGUGUAUAGGAAUGCUUUUCUUAGUGGUAGAGUAAAUACCAUACACGAUAACAUCAAAGUUUUUUUCAACUGCUUUGAAUCAUAGCUUAUGUAUUACAUUUCAACCAGCAGCAUUUAGGACUUCACCAACUCAAGUUAGAUAAGCAUUUUGAGGAGGAAUGUGUAAAUUGCCUUAAAAUCAAAUCUAUAUUUUAAGAAGUAAAACUGGUUAAGAAUCAUCAGGAUUUUGGAGUUCCCUGUGUCACAGGGGGUUGAGGAUCUGUUGUCACUGCCAUGGCUCAGGUCAGUGCUUUGGCACGUGCUUGAUCCUUGGCCCCAAAGAUCUUCCACAUCCUUUGGGUGUGGCCAAAAAAAAAAAAAGAAUCAUCUGGAUUUAGAAAUUAUGUUUUUCAGAAUUACUAAUAAACUUACUCAUAAAUAUGCUAAACAAACAUAUAAAUUCAUUUGAUUCUGGAUUGAUCCAAAAGUUAAAAAGAUGACAACAAAGUCUUAACAAAUCUUGUAUUUCAUUGCAUAUCUGAUUAAAAUCACUUAAAUGUUCUUUGGCAUUUAAAUAAUGUCAGGUAUUUUUUAUUUUUCAUUUUUAGAACAUAUAAUUGAAGGUUACAAAAGUUUAAAUUAUAUUUAUCAAUCUCACAUCCAUUUGAUCUUUCAAAAUUAAUAAAACAAGACAGGGUAAUAGGGGAAGAGGAUACUGAAUCAGUAAGUUCAUGAAUCAGUAUGAAAAAUAGCUUGGAAGUUCCCAUGAUGGCUCAGUGGUUAACGAAUCUGACUAGUAUCUAUGAGGACAUAGGUUCAAUCCCUGGCCUCGAUCAGUGGGUUAAGGAUCUAGAGUUGCCAUGAGCUGUGAUGUAGGUCACAGAUGUGGCUCAGAUCUGGUGCUGCUGCGGCUGAGGUGUAGGCUGGCAGCUACAGAUCCAAUUCAACCCCUAGCCCAGGAACCUCCAUAUACUGUGGGUGUAGCCCUAAAAAGACUACCAAAAAAAAAAAAAAAAGAAAAGAAAAGAAAAAGAAAAAAUCAUCUUUGGAGUUCCCGUUGUGGCGCAGUGGUUAACGAAUCUGAUUGGGAACCUUGAGGUUUCAGGUUCGAUCCCUGGCCUUGCUCAGUGGGUUAAGGAUCUGGUGUUGCCAUGAGCUGUGGUGUAGGUUGCAGACGUGGCUCGGAUCCCGCAUUGCUGUGGCUGUGGCGCAGACCGGCAGCUAUAGCUCCGAUUAGACCCCUAGCCUGGGAACCUCCAUGUGCCAUGUGCCGCAGGAGCGGCCCUAGAAAA